Molecule: non-coding RNA, 23 nt
Filed under: Cricetulus griseus (Chinese hamster)
Lineage: Eukaryota; Metazoa; Chordata; Mammalia; Rodentia; Cricetidae
Source: RNAcentral
UGGAGAGAUAGAUGGCUCAGAGA